CGCCACAAGGGGAACCCCGCGAAAAUUAGAGAUGCGUGCGCAUUGCGCGCCUUCAUCUGAGCCGACGCGUAAAGCUUCGUUCACAAUACGCUUCGCAGUUGCUCCCUGGGAUAGAGAUAAUAAAUGUUGCGGGUGAGCAAUGGAAAUAGAUCGAAAGGACCACGUUACAUGACUCGAAUUUAUUUGAUGAUGAAAUUUUCCAAAUAUUUUCAUAUAAGAAAACUUUAUAAUAAGAAGCAGUGUUGACAGGAACAAGUAAAUUUGGUUAGUCAAACAGACAAAGUUCUGAUCGUCUCAUCUAUUGCCUACCUAAAGUUUUCUUAUAUAUAUAUUACCUUGAAUAUAAGCUUCCGUUGAACUACUUGUCCAAGAUACUAGGACGUUCGAUCGGUGAAACAACUGCAUAAGCAUUUCCAAGCCUAUUUGGCACUGAGAUACUUUUAAAGCGGCUAGAUCACUUUCGCAUCAAAAUGAAUUAUAAAUCGAACGUAAAACUAUUACAUUUUAUAUUCAAGAGAAUUAUUGCUUUGUGAAGAUAAGAAUUUUCUUUUUGAAAUC
Molecule: long non-coding RNA, 558 nt
Organism: Apis florea (little honeybee)
Lineage: Eukaryota; Metazoa; Arthropoda; Insecta; Hymenoptera; Apidae
Source: RefSeq, a predicted model, not a curated record